This 1220-nucleotide long non-coding RNA is filed under the name Homo sapiens (human). Its description in RNAcentral is "uncharacterized LOC100996660, transcript variant 4 (LOC100996660)". Lineage: Eukaryota; Metazoa; Chordata; Mammalia; Primates; Hominidae. The record is from RNAcentral.
GUUUGGCGUUGCAGCUGUGUGGGCGCUGGUGCGUGCGAGUAGCGCUCGAAGAAACCCAAAGGCGUCGUGGGGCUGCCGUGUGCCCCAGAGAGCACUGCAGGCCGGGUAGGGGCUAAGGCUCCCCGCAGUCUUCUGUGUGUCGUCCAGUACGCAGUUGAAAUCGUUCUCCAACCUGGCCAGUCCUCCGAGGCCCUUCUCAGGCGACCAGACUCUGUUAACAGAGUCCAUUGCUAAAACUCCUCGUUAGUAUUUACCACUCCUCCAGUCUGUGUUUUGAAGCAGUGGUUUUCAACCACUGCCCGUUUUCAGAAGAAAUCAUCUCAAGCGUCCGUGUGCUGCUAGAAGCCGGGCCGGGAGGUCUUGGUGCCGGACUCCACCCUGCAGCCCUUCCCUUUCGCCACCGCCCUGUGCUUAGAGAAACCUUAGAGUGGAGCAAUGAGUCGCCCUUGACUGAGUAACUCUUCGGGGUCAACUUCUCCUUCCACGCCAAGGAAAGGAUUCCAGGGCGAUGUUUCUGGAAAUAGAGAUCUGACCAAGCCACUGCUCUGGUGAAAAUUCAGUGGGUCCCUAGCACCUAGUGCAGCGGCUCCUAGCCUGAGUAUUGCCGUCUUUCGGUGGGGAGGGGUUGGGUUUUUUUGUAGCAUCUGUUGAUCUGAUCUCCAACAUCCUCCACGUCAAUUCCCACUCCACCCACAUCCCUUAUCCUAUACGUAAGCUUUCCAGCCACGGUGCUGGCUUGGGUGGGGGUGCGUGCGGUGCUGACACCAAAAUGGAGGUCCCGUGUUUCUGAGAGUCUCUUUCAGAGCAAUGCAAACCUGAAACUACUCCUGCCAAGAAACGAUUGCAGCUCUUCCCGGAAAAGUUAAAGCCUUUGAGAAACAAAGCUGAGGGCCUAGGGGAUGCCAAAUUCCAGGGUCCAGAAAGAGCUUGGGAUAAAAUGAACAUCCAAGGGGAGGGCUUUGACCUGGGCUGAGUCUGCCUGUGCCGAGUCUGCCUGUGCCAUCCAACUGGAGUCUCAAGUCCUGAGGCAGGACGUCCAGAUGCCCCAGUGCAGGGUCCUCCUGAUCAACACCUGCUCCCCUGUACUCAUUAGCAACCUCACCCACCCUACUCUCAAAGCACACUUGGCUCUCAUAUCCAGGAGCUCUGCAUCUGUAGAUUCAGCAACAGCAGAUGGAAAAUAUUCAGAAAAUAAAUUGGACAGUUAUAUUUCUAUUGAA